Molecule: ribosomal RNA, 497 nt
Filed under: uncultured bacterium
Lineage: Bacteria
Description: partial 16S ribosomal RNA
Rfam family: Bacterial small subunit ribosomal RNA
Source: RNAcentral
GACGAACGCUGGCGGCGUGCCUAAUACAUGCAAGUUGAGCGCUGAAGGCUGGUACUUGUACUAACUGGAUGAGCAGCGAACGGGUGAGUAACGGGUGGGGAAUCCGCCACUGAGCGGUGAACAACAGUUGCAAACGAAUGCUAAGACCGCAUAAAAACUUUAAACACAAGUGUUAAGUUUGAAAGAUGCAAUUGCGUCACUCAAAGAGGAUCCCGCGUUGUAUUAGCUAUUUGGGGAGGUAAAGGCUCACCAAGGCGAUGAGACAUAGCCGACCUGAGAGGGGGAUCGGCCCCAUUGGGAUUGAGACACGGCCCAAACUCCUACGGGAGGCAGCAGUAGGAAAUCUUGGGCAAUGGACGAAAGUCUGACCGAGCAACGAAGCGUGAGUGAAGAAGGUUUUCGGAUCGUAAAACUCUGUUGGUAGGGAAGAACGUUGGUGAGAGUGGAAAGCUCAUCAAGUGACGGUAACUACACAGAAAGGGACGGCUAACUACGUG